UUCUUUCAGCUUCAUCUUUGGUCUCAGCAGAUGCGUAAGCUUUAACAUUGGUUUUGGCCGAUUCGUCUAAUUGACCCUUGGCAUUUUCUUCAUUUUUUGCUUCAGCAUCUUUCUUUUCUUUCUUUUCAGCUUCAAGUUCCGCAUUAGUAAAAGAUUGAGCUUGAGCCUCUGCUUUCGUUUUUGCAUUAGCGUAAGUUUUGGCUUCAUCUAUUUUUUGAGAUUGUGCUUUGGCAUCUGUAUUUACUUCGGCUUGAUCCUUUGCUUCUGCAUUUGCAUCAACUUCAACAUUAGCUUCGGCAUCAGCUUUAGCAGAUGCAUCGGAUUUAGCCUUCGCAUUUUCUUCAUUUUCUUCUUCAAUAUCUUUCUUUUCUUUAUUUUCAGCUUCAGUUUCCGCUUUAGCGAAAGCUUGAGCUUGACCCUCUACUUUUGUUUUUGCGUUAGAAUAAGUAUUGGCUUCAACUAGUUUUUGAGAUUGUGCAUUGGCAUCCGUAUUUACUUCAACAUCAUCUUUGGCCUCAGUGGUAGCAUCAGUUUUGGCAUUGACCUCAGCAUUAGCUUUAGCAGAAGCAUAAAUUUUUCCCUUGGUAUUUUCUUGAUUUUUGGCUUCGGCGUCUUUAUUUUCUUGAUCUUUUGCUUCAUUUUUUGCAUUUGCAUAUUCUUGAGCUUUAGACUCUGCUUUUGCUUCAACGUUAGCAUCAUCUUGAGAUUCUGAAUUGGCAUCAUCGUUUUCAAAAUUUGCUUCAGUAGAUGCAUCGUUUUUUUCUUUAGCGUUAUAUUCAUUUUCACCAUUUUUGUCUUCACCUUUAUCUCCUGUGUCAACUUGAGCAUCAUCUUUUACUUUUGCUUCAUCAUUGACCUCAACCUUUGCAUCCGUUUCAGCAUUGGCUUUGACAUUAGCUUCAGCAGAUGCAUCACUAUUUGCCUUAGUAUUUUCUUCAUUUUUGGCUUCAACAUCUUUUUUGACCUUAUUUUUUGCCUCAUUUUCUGCAUUAGCAUAAACUUGAGCUUGAGCCUCUGCUUUUGCGGCAGCAUUAGCAUCAGCUUUAGCCUCUACUUUUUUUUCGGAUUGUGCAUUUGCAUCUGCAUUUACUUCAGCAUCAUCCUUUGCUUCGGCAUUUGUAUUAGCAUCAGCAUUAGCUUCGGCAUCAGCUUUAGCAGAUGCAUCAGAUUUAGCCUUGUCAUUUUCUUCAUGUUUUGCUUCAGUAUCUUUAUUUUCUUUAUUUUUAGCUUCGGCUUCUGCAUUAGCAUAAACUUGAGCUUGAGCCUCUGCUUUUGCUGCAGCAUUAGCAUCAGCUUUAGCCUCAGUUAUUUUUUGGGAUUGUGCAUUAACAUCAGCAUUUACUUCAGCUUCAUCUUUGGCCUCGACCUUUGCAUCAGCUUUGGCAUUGGCUUCAGCAUUGGCUUCAGCAGAUGCCUCAGAUUUGACUUUGUUAUUUUCUUCAUUUUUUGCUUCUGUGUCAUCAUUUUCUCUAUUCUUGGCUUCAUCUUCUGCUUUAGCGUAUACUUGAGCUUGAGCCUCUGUUUUUGCUUCAGCAUUAGCAUCAACUUUAGCCUCUGCCUUUUUUUUAGAUUGGGCAUUGGCAUCGGCAUUUACUUCGACUUCAGCCUUGGCCUCUGCAAUUGCGGCAGCUUUUGCAUUAGCAUCGGCAUUAGCUUCAGCAGAUGCAUCACUAUUUGCCUUAGCAUUUUGUUCAUUUUUGGCUUCAACAUCUUUUUUUACUUUAUUUUUUGCUUCUUCUUCUGCAUUAGCAUAAACUUGAGCUUGAGCCUCUGCUUUUGCUGCAGCAUUAGCGUAAGUUUGAGCUUCUGCUCUUUUUUCGGAUUGUGCACUGGCAUCUGCUUUUACUUCAACUUCAGCAUUGGCUGCGGCAACUGCAUAAACUUUUGCACUAGCUUCGGCUUUAGCUUCAGCAGAUGCAUAAGAUUUUGCUUUAGCAAUUUCUUCAUUUUUGGCUUCAGCAUCUUUAGUUUCUUUAGUCUUUGCUUCAGCUUCUGCAUUAGCGUAAUCGUGCGCUUUAGCCUCAGCGUUUGCUUCAGCUUUUGCAUAGGUUUUUGCCUCAGCUUCUUUUUGAGAUUUUGCAAUAGUAUUAGCAUUUUUUUCAGUUUCAUCCUUGGCCUCGGCAAUUGCAUAAGCUUUAGUAUUGGCUUUAGCAGAUGUAUCUGAUUGACUUUUGGCUUUUGCUUCAUUUUUAGCUUCCAUAUCUUUCUUUUCUUUAUUUUCAGCUUUAAUUUCUACGUUAGCGAAGGCUUGAGCUUGAGCCUCUGCCUUCGCUUUUGCGUUAGCAUCAGCUUUGGCCUCAACUAUUUUUUGAGAUUGUUCAUUAGCAUUGAAAUUUACUUCAGUUUCAUCCUUGGCCUCGGCACUUGCAUAAGCUUUAGCAUUGGCUUCAGCUUUAGCUUUAGCAGAUGCAUAUGUUUUUGCUUUUGCAUAUUCUUCAUUUUCAGCUUCAACAUCUUUCUUUUCUUUCUUUUCAGCUUCAGUUUCCGCAUCCGCAAAAGCUUGAGCUUGAUUUUCAGCUUUAGCUUUAGCAUCAGCAUCAACUUUAGCCUCUACUUUUUUUUCGGACUGUGCAUUUGCAUCUGCAUUUACUUCAACGUCGCCCUUUGCUUCUGCAUUUGCAUCAGCUUCAGCAUUAGCUUUGGCAUCAGCUUUAGCAGAUGCAUCAGAUUUAGCCUUGGCGUUUUCAUCAUUUUUCGUAUUAGCAUCUUUAUUUUCCCUAUUUUUAGCUUCAACUUCUGCAUUAGCAAAAACUUGAGCUUGAGUCUCUGCCUUUGCUGCAGCAUUUGCAUCAACUUUAGCCUCAACUAUUUUUUGGGAUUGUGCAUUGGCAUCAGCAUUUACUUCAGCUUCAUCUUUGGCCUCGGCCUUUGCAUCAGCUUUGGCAUUGGCUUUGGCACUAGCUUCAACAGAUGCAUCAGAUUUAGCUUUGUUAUUUUCUUCAUUUUUUGCUUCAGUGUCUUUAUUUUCUCUAAUUUUGGCUUCAUCUUCUGCUUUAGCGUAUACUUGAGCUUGAGCCUCUGCUUUUGUUGCAGCAUUAGCAUCAGCUUUAGCUUCAGUUAUUUUUUGGGAUUGUGCAUUAACAUUAGCAUUUACUUCAUCUUCAUCUUUGGUCUCGGCCUUUGCAUCAGCUUUGGCAUUGGCUUCAGCGUUGGCUUCAGCAGAUGCCUCGGAUUUAACUUUGUUAUUUUCUUCAUUUUUAGCUUUAACAUCUCUAUUUUUCCUAUUUUUGGCUUCAACUUCUGCAUUAGCAUACACUUGAGCUUGAGCCUCUGCUUUUGCUGCGGCAUUAGCAUUAGCUUUAGCCUCUGCUAUUUUUUGGGAUUGUGCAUUGGAAUCUGCAUUUACUUCGGCUUCAUCCUUAACCUCAGCAGUUGCGUCAGCUUUGGCAUUGGCCUUAGCAUUAGCUUUAGCGGAUUCAUCUGCUUUUGCCUCGGUAUCUUGUUCAUUUUUAGCUUCGUUAUUUUUUUCUUCUGAGUUUUUGGCUUCUGCUACUUCUAUUUCAUCGACGCCUUCAGCAUCAUAUUGUGAUUCAUCUUUAUUUUCAGAAUCCGCAUCGACUUCAUUAUCAUCUGUAUCAUUUUCAUCUAUGACUUCAAGAUUGUUAGCAUCUUGUUCCUUUUCUUCUUGAUUAUUGGUAUUUUCACCUUGAUCCUUGCUUUCAAAUUUUGCUUCAUCUUUUCCUUCAUCUUCAACUUCGGACGUAUCUUUGCUUAUAGCUUUGUCGUCGUAAUUAGCUUCAUCUUGAGCUUUUGCCUCAUCUUUUGAUUCAAAUUUAGCUUCAUUUUUCGCAGCAUCUAUAGCUUUAUCCUCACUUUUGGAUUCAACCAAAGCAUCAUCUUCAGCUUUAUCUUCAUCCUUGGCUUCAGCUUUGGCUUCGGUUUUGGCAUUAUCCUUGGCUUCAACUACAUCGUCAGCUUUUUUCUCAACUUCAUUGUAUUGAUUUUCUUCAUCUAAUACAUCAUCUUUUUCUUUAGAUUCAGCAUCAGCCUUUGCUUCAGCUUUGGCUUCGGCCUUGGCUUCAACUUUAGCCUCAGCUUUGGUAUCACCAUGUUUUGCAUCAAUUUUCCCUUCAGCUUCGUAAUUAUGUUCGGAUUUGGCAUCAUCUUUGAUUUUUGCUUUAAACUUAUCUUCAGCUUUUGUGUCAUCAUUGGCUUUAGAUUGAGCUUUAUCUUCAACCUGAGCUUGGUUUUGGGCCGUCGCUUCAUAGUUAUCUUUUUCUCUAACAUCAGCUUGAGCUUUGCUUUUAUUUUCAGCUUCCGCUUCACUUUCAGCAUUAGCUUGAGCUUGAGCCUGGGCUUUGGCCUGAGCCUGAGCUUGCGCUUGAGCCUGAUCUUUAGCCUCAACAUAGGAAUCUACCUUAGUCUUGUUCUUGUCUUUAUCUGCUUCUAUCGUCUCUUUUUUCUCCUCAACAUUUUCUUUUUUGGUAUCUUUGUUGAUCUUUUCAACCUGAGUGUCACAUUUCUUUUCCUGGGCGGAAGUUAUUGGGGAUGAUGAAAGAAAAAGGGUGAGGAGAAGGGAAAUGGUAAGAAAGAUGGUCUUAUUGAAAUGAGCCAUCGAUGGAUUGUCUUCUUUAUUUUUUAUUUUUUUAUUUUGUGCUUCAUCAAGCAAGCUUCUACACUUUGAUGCGUUGCUUGUUCUUGAAGGUAUUUGUAGAACUGGUGGUAGAAUUGUAACCAACACAACCCAACCAACACCCGCUGCAUAUAGUUUACAAGGACGUCAUUUGUUGAUUUUAAACCAUUCUUCCUUUCCUAUUUUCUAAAGGCUUGUUUUCCUUCAUCUAAUUACAAACAAUUGUCAUGUUUGCUAUUCUUAAUUCAGUUAGCAUGCAACUACUAGAUAAUAUCAUUGAUUGGUUUAUGAUAUUAUUAUUGGUAAUCCUAGAAAAGAAAAUGAUCAACUCUAUUGGUGUCUAUCAUUAGGGACAUGACAAAAAUAUUUUCAUUUUGUCGAAGCAAGUUACAACACAUCCAAAGUGUUGUCGACGCAAUGGAUUGUUGAAGAACAUAAACCAAGAUUCCAGCAAUGUGCUUUGUCGGCUUCGAUGCAAUGGGCAAAUCUAGAAGAGAGGAAGAGUAACAAUGAGCAAUCUUUGAAACCACAAUUGUUAGCAUUUCAAAUAGUCUUGCUUGCUUGCAUACCCAUCCAAAACCCACAAUUGACAAAACAUUAUCUUUGUUGCUAUCCAAAA
Molecule: long non-coding RNA, 5192 nt
Filed under: Zostera marina
Lineage: Eukaryota; Viridiplantae; Streptophyta; Magnoliopsida; Alismatales; Zosteraceae
Description: long non-coding RNA (ZMAR_LNC002938)
Source: RNAcentral